RNAcentral lists this ribosomal RNA (445 nucleotides) under uncultured bacterium. RNAcentral describes it as "SSU rRNA". It matches the Rfam family "Bacterial small subunit ribosomal RNA", at positions 26 to 518 of the family's 1533-position model. The record is from RNAcentral.
AGAACGAACGCUGGCGGCAGGCCUAACACAUGCAAGUCGAACGCCCUGGCAACAGGGAGUGGCAGACGGGUGAGUAACGCGUGGGAAUCUACCUUGUGGUACGGAACAACCAAGGGAAACUUUGGCUAAUACCGUAUGAGCCCUUCGGGGGAAAGAUUUAUCGCCAUAAGAUGAGCCCGCGUAGGAUUAGCUAGUUGGUGAGGUAAUGGCUCACCAAGGCGACGAUCCUUAGCUGGUCUGAGAGGAUGACCAGCCACACUGGGACUGAGACACGGCCCAGACUCCUACGGGAGGCAGCAGUGGGGAAUAUUGGACAAUGGGCGCAAGCCUGAUCCAGCCAUGCCGCGUGUGUGAUGAAGGCCUUAGGGUUGUAAAGCACUUUCGCCGAUGAAGAUAAUGACUGUAGUCGGAGAAGAAGCCCCGGCUAACUCGCGCCAGCAGCCGC